CCUUUCUUGUUAUAUUCACAUACCUUUUCCCUUUUCUCUUUUCCUUUAUCUUUGGAGAGUGAGUUUUCAUAUCAUUAUAUAUAUAUAUCUUCAUAUUGAUAUAUAUAUAGAAAAGAUAAAUAAGAGAAGGAUGCCUGGUUUAGUGAAUGUGUUUUUAGAGGAGAUGAUGAAGUUGGGGAAGAAGGAGAAGAAGAAGAAUGAUACUUCAUUACAUGUUGAAGAAGAGAAAGAGAAGAUGGAUUUGUUUGUGAUGGCCGGAAAAGGAGAAGGAAAGAAGGAGAAAAGGGAAGAGAUCUCUGAAACUACUUUGGUUCUUCUUCUUGAUCGUUUUGCUCCAUGUUAACUAAGCUUGGUUUGGUGAUGUUUAUAUUGUUUAUAGGUUGUGGUUUUUUUUUUGUAUUAUAUAUUUCUUUUGUUUGGAGGGUUUAAUGUGUUGAGUUUUGUUGAUUUGGUUUUGAAUUAAGAGUGGAAGAAGAUGGAUUUGGUUGAA
This is a long non-coding RNA of Dioscorea cayenensis subsp. rotundata (Guinea yam), 490 nucleotides long. RefSeq lists it as uncharacterized. Lineage: Eukaryota; Viridiplantae; Streptophyta; Magnoliopsida; Dioscoreales; Dioscoreaceae. The record is from RefSeq and is a predicted model, not a curated record. The transcript is spliced from 2 exons.